RNAcentral lists this ribosomal RNA (446 nucleotides) under uncultured bacterium. Its description in RNAcentral is "partial 16S ribosomal RNA". It matches the Rfam family "Bacterial small subunit ribosomal RNA", at positions 338 to 795 of the family's 1533-position model. The record is from RNAcentral.
CCUACGGGUGGCAGCAGUCGAGAAUCAUUCACAAUGGGGGAAACCCUGAUGGUGCGACGCCGCGUGGGGGAAUGAAGGUCUUCGGAUUGUAAACCCCUGUCAUGUGGGAGCAAAUUAAAAAGAGAGUAUCACAAGAGGAAGAGACGGCUAACUCUGUGCCAGCAGCCGCGGUAAUACAGAGGUCUCAAGCGUUGUCCGGAAUCACUGGGCGUAAAGCGUGCGUAGGCGGUUUCUUAAGUCGUGUGUGAAAGGCGCGGGCUCAACCCGGGGGCGGCAUAUGAUACUGGGAGACUAGAGUAAUGGAGAGGGGAGUGGAAUUCUCGGUGUAGCAGUGAAAUGCGUAGAUAUCUGGAGGAACACUCGUGGCGAAGGCGGGUUCCUGGACAUUAACUGACGCUGAGGCGCGAAGGCCAGGGGAGCGAAAGGGAUUAGAUACCCCUGUAGUC